Molecule: ribosomal RNA, 492 nt
Filed under: uncultured bacterium
Lineage: Bacteria
Description: partial 16S ribosomal RNA
Rfam family: Bacterial small subunit ribosomal RNA
Source: RNAcentral
AGUGAACGCUGGCGGUAGGCCUAACACAUGCAAGUCGAACGGCGGCACAGUAAGAGCUUGCUCUUACGGGUGGCGAGUGGCGGACGGGUGAGGAAUACAUCGGAAUCUACUUUUUCGUGGGGGAUAACGUAGGGAAACUUACGCUAAUACCGCAUACGACCUACGGGUGAAAGCAGGGGAUCUUCGGACCUUGCGCGAUUGAAUGAGCCGAUGUCGGAUUAGCUAGUUGGCGGGGUAAAGGCCCACCAAGGCGACGAUCCGUAGCUGGUCUGAGAGGAUGAUCAGCCACACUGGAACUGAGACACGGUCCAGACUCCUACGGGAGGCAGCAGUGGGGAAUAUUGGACAAUGGGCGCAAGCCUGAUCCAGCCAUACCGCGUGGGUGAAGAAGGCCUUCGGGUUGUAAAGCCCUUUUGUUGGGAAAGAAAAGCAGCAGGUUAAUACCCCGCUGUUCUGACGGUACCCAAAGAAUAAGCACCGGCGAACUUCGUG